AUCUGGGUCCAAUGGUGAGAGAGAUUAUUGAAAUUACCCUAAUAUACUUUGAUCUUUUACUUUUGUAUAAAUCUUUGUUGGAAGUUAGGGCAUGGAGAUUUCAUGAAUUAAUAUUAUUGUGGAUUUUGUGCACGAUUGCUAAUAUCAGAAGAAUUUUGGACCUGGUAUGGAUUGAACAAAACAGUUGAACCAUUCCCUGAAAAAUUAGAUAUGACAAGUUAAGAUUAAAAAAAAA
This 235-nucleotide unclassified non-coding RNA is filed under the name Hevea brasiliensis (rubber tree). Lineage: Eukaryota; Viridiplantae; Streptophyta; Magnoliopsida; Malpighiales; Euphorbiaceae. The record is from RNAcentral.